AUCCGAUCAAUUUAUUGGUUCCAUUCCCCCUAGUAAUAAUGAUCCAUUUGCAGUGACGAUGACAAUCAAAGUUUAGGGCAAGAAAUAUAGAAGAUAAAGAAAACUAUAAACAAUUACAACUGUACAGUAGAAAGGAUCGGCAAAACAACAUAAACAGAAGACAACAAGGCCUAAAUGGUGCAGAGACUUCUUGGUUUUCAUGAUCAUCAACAGAUCAAUACAGAAGAGGAAACUUAAGGUUAAUACUUUUCUACAUUGUGUGCUAAUUGGAUUAAUGUGAAAUGAAAUGUGUGCUUACCUGGAAAAAGAAAAUAGGAAAUUUCUACAAAAUGGCUGUACACAAAAUGGAGUACAAUCAUAGAUGCACAAGAACACAAUUGUGUAAUUGCAACAACCUACACUGAAGGAUUAGGGAAAAAUGUAGAAAAAAUAGUAUUUUUUUGUCAAAAUAAACACCUGCUUUAUCCAUUCAUGUACAUAGCUCUGUCAUAUCAACUAUAUAGAGGAAGAUGUUUGAAGAACAAAUUGCAAAAAUGUAUUCUCUACCAAUUGAAGGAAGAUGUCUGGUGGAUGGAAUUAUUUAUGCACUGAACUGUUUUGUAGGGGAUUGAAUAAUUGUACGCAGCAGAAAAGUUAAAUUAACAUGAAAAGUGGUUAUUUUAUUUAAUCCGCAAAUAUGAGCACAAUAUUAAUAACAUCACAAAUAGUAUGAUAUUCAUAGCGUUUUGCUUAUUAUUGUAUUGUCUCAAACAGCUAGCCUAUUGUUUUUGUAUGUCAUAUUACUCAUCAGUGAACAUUUUAUUAAAGUUUUAAUUAUC
Molecule: long non-coding RNA, 818 nt
Organism: Mytilus californianus (California mussel)
Lineage: Eukaryota; Metazoa; Mollusca; Bivalvia; Mytilida; Mytilidae
Exons: 3
Source: RefSeq, a predicted model, not a curated record